Molecule: microRNA precursor, 63 nt
Filed under: Mustela putorius furo (domestic ferret)
Lineage: Eukaryota; Metazoa; Chordata; Mammalia; Carnivora; Mustelidae
Description: miRNA (ENSMPUG00000020355.1)
Source: RNAcentral
AGUGGGGUCUGGGGAUGAGGACUGUGUCUCUCAGAAUCAGAAGACAAGCUCCAGAGCCCACUG